CGUAAAUUACCCAAUCCCGGCACGGGGAGGUAGUGACGAGAAAUAACAAUAUAAGACUCUUUUAUGAUGUCUUAUAAUUGGAAUGAGUUGAGCAUAAAUCCUUCAACAAGGAUCAAGUGGAGGGCAAGUCUGGUGCCAGCAGCCGCGGUAAUUCCAGCUCCACUAGCGUAUAUUAAAAUU
Molecule: ribosomal RNA, 180 nt
Filed under: Ochlerotatus triseriatus
Lineage: Eukaryota; Metazoa; Arthropoda; Insecta; Diptera; Culicidae
Description: partial 18S ribosomal RNA
Rfam family: Eukaryotic small subunit ribosomal RNA
Source: RNAcentral